Molecule: long non-coding RNA, 378 nt
Filed under: Ananas comosus (pineapple)
Lineage: Eukaryota; Viridiplantae; Streptophyta; Magnoliopsida; Poales; Bromeliaceae
Description: long non-coding RNA (ACOM_LNC012393)
Source: RNAcentral
AUCUAUCUUGACUACUCAAUCACCACGUUUUAGACAUUAAUUUAUAAUAAAUUUUUAAUUUUAUAUAUAUAUAUAUAUAUAUACAGACAUUUCGUUUCAGAGUGUAUGAUAUAGAUGUUGGCUUAAAUGGAGUCAGCAUCCUGCCCUGUGGCGGGAGGUCAUGUGGGCCGAGUCAUGUUCGAAAUGGCGUGAGGCUGGAUUGGGUCGAGUCAUGUUCGAAGUGGCGUGAGGCCAGGUGGGCCAAGUCACAAUUGAAACCCGUAGGCGCUGUUUCUAUACUCUUUAAGUGAAUUGGUUGCGUAUUUCUAACAACUCGAGUUUUUUGGAUUAAUGAUUAGCGCUAAUAAUCCAACAAUAGAUGGAUGGAUGAAUGUAAAU